This 229-nucleotide ribosomal RNA is filed under the name uncultured bacterium. Its description in RNAcentral is "partial 16S ribosomal RNA". It matches the Rfam family "Bacterial small subunit ribosomal RNA", at positions 107 to 334 of the family's 1533-position model. The record is from RNAcentral.
UGAGUAACACGUAUCCAACCUGCCGUCUACUCUUGGACAGCCUUCUGAAAGGAAGAUUAAUCCAGGAUGGCAUCAUGAGUUCACAUGUCCGCAUGAUUAAAGGUAUUUUCCGGUAGACGAUGGGGAUGCGUCCCAUUAGAUAGUAGGCGGGGUAACGGCCCACCUAGUCAACGAUGGAUAGGGGUUCUGAGAGGAAGGUCCCCCACAUUGGUACUGAGACACGGACCAA